GUCUGAGAGGAUGAUCAGCCACACUGGAACUGAGACACGGUCCAGACUCCUACGGGAGGCAGCAGUGGGGAAUAUUGCACAAUGGGCGCAAGCCUGAUGCAGCCAUGCCGCGUGUGUGAAGAAGGCCUUCGGGUUGUAAAGCACUUUCAGUCGUGAGGAAGGUGGUAGUGUUAAUAGCACUAUCAUUUGACGUUAGCGACAGAAGAAGCACCGGCUAACUCCGUGCCAGCAGCCGCGGUAAUACGGAGGGUGCGAGCGUUAAUCGGAAUUACUGGGCGUAAAGCGCAUGCAGGUGGUUUGUUAAGUCAGAUGUGAAAGCCCGGGGCUCAACCUCGGAAUUGCAUUUGAAACUGGCAGACUAGAGUACUGUAGAGGGGGGUAGAAUUUCAGGUGUAGCGGUGAAAUGCGUAGAGAUCUGAAGGAAUACCGGUGGCGAAGGCGGCCCCCUGGACAGAUACUGACACUCAGAUGCGAAAGCGU
RNAcentral lists this ribosomal RNA (480 nucleotides) under Vibrio parahaemolyticus. RNAcentral's name for it is "bacterial SSU rRNA". It matches the Rfam family "Bacterial small subunit ribosomal RNA", at positions 290 to 762 of the family's 1533-position model. The record is from RNAcentral. Lineage: Bacteria; Pseudomonadati; Pseudomonadota; Gammaproteobacteria; Vibrionales; Vibrionaceae.